UGGCUCAGAGGUUAAGAACUCUGGACUGCUCUUCCAGAGGUCCUGGGUUCAAUUCCCAG
Cricetulus griseus (Chinese hamster) is the source of this 59-nucleotide non-coding RNA. NCBI's taxonomy places the organism in Eukaryota, Metazoa, Chordata, Mammalia, Rodentia, Cricetidae. The record is from Rfam.